UAAAUUUUAAUAUGGAAUAAUAAAAUCGGAGGCCACGACUGUUUACUAAAAACACAAUUCAGAGCAAUGAUUAAGAUCAUAGUAUUCUGAAUGAAAUUUGCUCAAUGCCAUUAAUAUAAAAGAGGUAAUUUUUAAGUUACUAAUUGAAAGUCUGGUUAAUAGCGGUCUUAACUAUGAGGAUCCUAAGGUAGCAAAAUAAAUUGGCCAUUAAAUGUGGUCUAGUAUCAAUAAUGUAACGAUGGUCUCACUGUCUCUACAACUUGCUCAGUGAAAUUGAAUUGCGAGUGCAGAUGCUCGCUAUCUUCAGAGGGAC
This 313-nucleotide ribosomal RNA is filed under the name Russulaceae sp. 'Taylor #6'. RNAcentral describes it as "LSU rRNA". It matches the Rfam family "Bacterial large subunit ribosomal RNA", at positions 1762 to 2081 of the family's 2925-position model. The record is from RNAcentral. Lineage: Eukaryota; Fungi; Basidiomycota; Agaricomycetes; Russulales; Russulaceae.